GAAAUGCGAUAAGUAAUGUGAAUUGCAGAAUUCAAUGAAUCAUCGAAUCUUUGAACGCACCUUGCGCUCCUUGGUAUUCCUUGGAGCAUGCCUGUUUGAGUAUCAUGAAAUCUUCAAAGUAAAUCUUUUGUUAACUCAAUUGGUUUCUACUUUGGUAUUGGAGGUCUUUGCAGCUUCACACCUGCUCCUCUUUGUUCAUUAGCUGGAUCUCAGUGUUAUGCUUGGUUCCACUCGGCGUGAUAAGUUAUCUAUCGCUGAGGACACUGUAAAAGGUGGCCAAGGUAAAUGCAGAUGAACCGCUUCUAAUAGUCCAUUGACUUGGACAAUACUUUUAUGAUCUGAUCUCAAAUCAGGUAGGACUACCCGCUGAACUUAAGC
RNAcentral lists this unclassified non-coding RNA (378 nucleotides) under plant metagenome. Its description in RNAcentral is "partial contains 5.8S ribosomal RNA, internal transcribed spacer 2, and large subunit ribosomal RNA". The stretch from base 1 to 105 matches the Rfam family "5.8S ribosomal RNA", at positions 50 to 154 of the family's 154-position model. The record is from RNAcentral.